CGUAGGGUGCGAGCGUUGUCCGGAAUUAUUGGGCGUAAAGAGCUCGUAGGCGGUGUGUCGCGUCGGCCGUGAAAACCUGCAGCUUAACUGUGGGCUUGCGGUCGAUACGGGCAUCACUGGAGUUCGGCAGGGGAGACUGGAAUUCCUGGUGUAGCUGUGAAAUGCGCAGAUAUCAGGAGGAACACCGGUGGCGAAGGCGGGUCUCUGGGCCGAUACUGACGCUGAGGAGCGAAAGCGUGGGGAGCGAACAGGAUUAGAUACCCUGGUAGUCCACGCCGUAAACGUUGGGCGCUAGGUGGUGGGGGCCAUUCCGACGGUCUCUGUGCCGUAGCUAACGCAUUAAGCGCCCCGCCUGGGAGUACGGCCGCAAGGCU
Molecule: ribosomal RNA, 374 nt
Filed under: uncultured organism
Description: bacterial SSU rRNA
Rfam family: Bacterial small subunit ribosomal RNA
Source: RNAcentral